GAGCAGGCUUCUUAGCUCACUUGGCACAGCAUGAGACUCUUAAUCUCAGGGUUGUGGGAUCUGACCCCACUUUGUUUG
Podarcis lilfordi (Lilford's wall lizard) is the source of this 78-nucleotide non-coding RNA. NCBI's taxonomy places the organism in Eukaryota, Metazoa, Chordata, Lepidosauria, Squamata, Lacertidae. The record is from the annotation of a GenBank genome assembly.